RNAcentral lists this ribosomal RNA (407 nucleotides) under uncultured bacterium. RNAcentral's name for it is "partial 16S ribosomal RNA". It matches the Rfam family "Bacterial small subunit ribosomal RNA", at positions 30 to 526 of the family's 1533-position model. The record is from RNAcentral.
AUUGAACGCUGGCGGCAGGCCUAAUACAUGCAAGUCGAGCGGAGCGGCGGAAGGGUGAGUAAUGCCUAGGAAUCUGCCUGGUAGUGGGGGAUACCGUCCGGAAACGGGCGAUAAUACCGCAUACUAUCAGAUGAGCCUAGGUCGGAUUAGCUAGAUGGUGGGGUAUAGGCCUACCAAGGCGACGAUCCGUAACUGGUCUGAGAGGAUGAUCGUGCACACUGGAACUGAGACACGGUCCAGACUCCUACGGGAGGCAGCAGUGGGGAAUAUUGGACAAUGGACGAAAGCCUGAUCCAGCCAUGCCGCGUGUGUGAAGAAGGUUUUCGGAUUGUAAAGCACUUUAAGUUGGGAGGCGUUACCAACAGAAUAAGCACCGGCUAACUUCGUGCCAGCAGCCGCGGUAAUUC